UCCAUCCCUGGGGAAAUGUGUGGCUCACUUGGCAGAAAUCUGGUCACAUCCAGCCCAGAGUGGCCCUGGCAGCUGUGGGGUCCCUCCUGCACAGGGAUCUUUGGGAUUUGUCCCUGAAAACAACUGGGCUGGGACUCAGGGGAGCCCAGUAGGACAUGAAGGAUGAUCCCACCUGGGAUGUUUGUUCUCCUUCGGGUGUGGAACUAUUCCCAGAGCCCCUGACCAGCACUGGAACUCCCAAAAUCCCUCUGGAGAUGGCUCCUCAUCCUUCCUGAGAGCCAGGAAUGCUGAAUUUAUCACUUAUACCCAACAGAUGAGCACUAAAUCCAUCCUUUGCACCCGGACACGAGGGAGAUCCAUGGCACAGCUUCCAUGGAAAAGCAAAACACACCCAGGAUCCCAACAAGGCCCUUUUGUGCUGCUCUGACCAAAACGAAGCAGCACCUUCUGGCUGUCCAGGCUGACAUCCAGGCAGCUGGAAACUCUCAGGAAAACUUGGAAGCUGCCAAGUCACCAUUUCCAGAAUUCCUGCUGCUGCUGCAUCUCCAGGCUCAGAGCCAGCUGGGUUUAUGUGGCACUGGUGGCAGCACAAACUGGCCUUUGGAAAGAUGGAACUUCUCUCCUUAUCCUGCAAAUUUGGUUGAGAAAACUCCACAUCUAAAAGCAGCCAAAGCUGCUGCUUCAGGAAUAACUGGAAUGUCCCCUCCGUGCCCCUGAUUCCUUUCACGUCCCUCAAGGUUAUGAUUUUUUAAAUUAUAAUUAAAAAAACCAGCUCAUCUUAAGAGGAUCACUGAAAUGCCAGCUGUGAAUUGUGAUUCCUGCCUGGAUUGCCAUUUUCUGGAUGGGUUUGAAGUCAUGGAAAGGGGAGCUUUGGGAAGUUGAGCUACAACAGGACCUGGCUGUGGUCCCCUGGUGCAGGAAGCCACCCUUGGCUUGGUGGCUGCUCAGGGGAGGAAUGACCUUCCAGCCCUGCUGGGCAUCCCUUGGUCUCAUCCUGCUCCUAAAUCCCUCUGGAAAAGAAACCUCACCCUCUGGAAGCUGAUCCUUGAGAAAAUCCCGUGGGACUGGCAACCCUGGAAGUGCCAAUUGGGGUUUUGUUACAGAAGGAAAGCAAAAUGGGGUUUUUUCCUC
RNAcentral lists this long non-coding RNA (1131 nucleotides) under Parus major (Great Tit). Its description in RNAcentral is "lncRNA (ENSPMJG00000009287.1)". Lineage: Eukaryota; Metazoa; Chordata; Aves; Passeriformes; Paridae. The record is from RNAcentral.